Non-coding RNA from Acanthosepion pharaonis, 112 nucleotides. NCBI's taxonomy places the organism in Eukaryota, Metazoa, Mollusca, Cephalopoda, Sepiida, Sepiidae. The record is from the annotation of a GenBank genome assembly.
UAUGGCCAUAUCAUAUUGAAACACUGGUUCCUGUAUGAUCAUCAAAGUUAAGCAAUGUUGAGCCUAGUCAGUACCUAGAUAGGUGACUGCUUGUGAAUACCAAGUACUGUAA